UCCGUCACGUGGCCUGCCCCUUCAUCCGUCACGUGGCCUUCUCACUGUCUCUCCUUUGUUUAGGACACCAGUCAUUAGAUUUAGGGCCUACCCUACCCCAACAGGACCUGCCCUUAAUUCCAUCUGCAAAGCCCCUCCUUCCAAAGAAGGUCCUUUUCUGAGGUUCCGGAUGGGUGUGAAUUUCGGAGGGAGCCUUUCCAGCUUAGCACAGCUACCAGAAAGGGGAACACUCAUUUCUUCAAUGAAAUGUCAAGACUGCAAGCUUGCCCGGGGAAGCCACGCUGUGGGGACACCUGCUCCAUGCUCCUGUCCCAGCCCAGCCUCCGAGGCACUGGCCUGAGGCCCUGUAAAAAUAAUGGAGCCUCAGGCCUCUCUCAAGCACCAUCAUCCAUCCUCUCUGCACAGUGCCAGGCGAGGCAGUCAUUCCAAAGCCCACGUGACAUCAGAGACUCUCAGGCUCAACACCUGGUCACAGAUGUGUCUCUGCUUCAGGGCAAAGGCCACAACUCCACCACACUUCAGACCCCUGGAAGCCAUGGCUGCUCCACUCCAGCCCCACCCUGGCCCAUCCACAGCUGGCAUAAGGGGGGCUCCUGCCCAAAGGAGGGUUCAGCUCACAGGUCAGACUCAGCUCAGGCUCAGCCUUGCAGUGCACCUGGCAGGUGCCUCCGCAGACCCUGAGCUUCUCCCAGCAGCGUUUGGCACCAGAUGUUGUAGAAUAAAUGGCAGCCAGACUAGCCACUGUGCCUGGAGGACAGGGCUGCCUCUGUCUUGGGCCUCCCAGCAUCCCCAGUCCUAACACAGCACCAUGCACACCUGGGUAGCUGUUCAUUAAAAUGAUGAGUCGGGCAGGGAGAGGCUGACUGCUCACUGCACCCUACUGGAGGUUUGCACUCACAACACUUGCAGAGCACCUGCAUCCUAGAACCAUGCAGAGCGGGGGCUCGGUGUCGUGGGGCCUGUCCCAAGAGCUCAGAGAGGAGAAGAGGGACACGUCCCCCCGAUGCAAACAUUGCCGUGGUUGGUGGGGCCCCAGACAAGGAAUGAGGGGAGCCUAGCAGAGGGCCAAGCCCUGCCAGUCCAAGCGUGCACAGCUGGGCCGGGGGGCUCCAGCGCAGAGCCCCACCCUGGCAGUGGUGUGCAGAAGGGGCUAAUGCCGCAGGGCUGGGUUGUAUGAACUCGGCCCAUUGCAAAGAAGGGUUUGGCCCUUGAUUGGCUUCUGGGAGGUGAGCUCGAGGCCUUGGGAUGUCCUGUUGAAUUGGACCAGUUCCGUUUAUCUGGGGGCCUAGGGCACAUGGUCUCAGCUUGGUCUCUGGAGGGUGGGAGGCACAGGGCAGCCACGUGGACAGUUGGCCACACCAGUGUGACUGAGGCCAGGGCAAGCCCCAGGCUCCGAGGCUCAGCUGAGCUGCCCUGGUUGGCUACACGUCCUGUGUGUAGUCACAUUGAACAGAGAAUGAAACGGUACCCUCGGAAGUCCACCCAGAGUGAGGAGAGCCGGGUGCUGGGGCUUGGCUCCUCCUGACCCUGCCCUUUGUGCCUCUGUCCCUUCACCGACCCUAAUCUGUAACCUUUCCUGGUAAUGGCCCAUCGCUGUGAGGAACACAGCUUAUCAGACUUCUGUGAACCCUUCUGGCUUUGACGCCAGAGGCUCAUGGGGAACCCUUGAAAGCCAUUCUCACUGGGUGACACCAAGCAAUGAGGAGAACCAGUCAGGAGAGGGAAACUGGGCCACGGAGGCUUUGGGCGAUGUGGCUCAGGCCCCCCCACCCCGCCAACAUGGAGCCGAGGGCCCCCAACCUGGGCCUCAGUGCUCUGGGCCAUAGUGCCCAGCUGUGUGGAGGGGAGACCUCACCUGGACCGAGCCCCCACGCCAUGUGCCCACUCCAUCCCCUCCCCAUUGAUCACAGAAAGCGAGGAGCCCCAAACCGCUUUCUCCAUUUACAAGCACUCUCAUUCAUUGGCCAAAGAUCAAACUGGCACCCACAAUCAGGAAGCCACAGUGGUGACCAGGACAGAGCAGGCCACCCCCACGGAGAGGCCCUGGUGGCUCAAUCAUUCAGGAACAGGCGCUGGGGGCUGUCAGGUGCCAGGCCCUGUCCUAGCUCUGGAGACUUAGCAGAGAACAUGGCAGACUCCACCCCUGCUUCACGGGAGAGUGAUGGACAGUGAAUAGCCAAAUUACAGGGUUGAGCAGGGGUCCAGUCGUGGAGAGAAAGGCAACU
This is a long non-coding RNA of Callithrix jacchus (white-tufted-ear marmoset), 2225 nucleotides long. RefSeq lists it as uncharacterized. The record is from RefSeq and is a predicted model, not a curated record. Lineage: Eukaryota; Metazoa; Chordata; Mammalia; Primates; Cebidae.